RNAcentral lists this transfer RNA (74 nucleotides) under Trichonephila clavata. RNAcentral describes it as "tRNA-Arg". It matches the Rfam family "tRNA". From Rfam's summary of the family: Transfer RNA (tRNA) molecules are approximately 80 nucleotides in length. Their secondary structure includes four short double-helical elements and three loops (D, anti-codon, and T loops). Further hydrogen bonds mediate the characteristic L-shaped molecular structure. tRNAs have two regions of fundamental functional importance: the anti-codon, which is responsible for specific mRNA codon recognition, and the 3' end, to which the tRNAs corresponding amino acid is attached (by aminoacyl-tRNA synthetases). tRNAs cope with the degeneracy of the genetic code in two manners: having more than one tRNA (with a specific anti-codon) for a particular amino acid; and 'wobble' base-pairing, i.e. permitting non-standard base-pairing at the 3rd anti-codon position. Lineage: Eukaryota; Metazoa; Arthropoda; Arachnida; Araneae; Nephilidae. The record is from RNAcentral.
GUCCCUGUAGCGCAAUGGAUAGUGCGUUGGACUUCGAAUCCAAAGGUCGUGGGUUCGAAUCUCACCUGGGGAUG